Long non-coding RNA from Hemicordylus capensis (graceful crag lizard), 2123 nucleotides. RefSeq lists it as uncharacterized. The record is from RefSeq and is a predicted model, not a curated record. Lineage: Eukaryota; Metazoa; Chordata; Lepidosauria; Squamata; Cordylidae. The transcript has 3 exons.
UCUCCUUACAGUAGUCUUUUGGGUUCACCACUUUGUAUUGUCUUGUUCACUGGGAUGGCUGAUUAUUGUGUUUUGGCUUUUAGGUACUGGUUUCGGAUUUGCCAUGGCAUUAUUAUUUGUAUUGUUGUGCUAUGUUGCUCACUACCUUGAUUGCCUUUAUAAGGCAGAAAGGUGACAUACAGAUCAUUUACUAGAGCAGAAGAGAAUAUCGUACUCAGUUUAACAUCUGGAAGGAAACUUGUGAACAUCACCUUUUGCAGAAGUGGCCCUUCUAUGAGCUGCCUCAGCCCCAUCUGGAGCAGCAUGAGAUACAGUGUGGUUGGCUGACUUGGGAAGCGAGAAUCAGCAAAAACCAGGGAUCCUUUUCUAACAUGGCAAACAUAUUUCCAGAACUAAAGUGAUUGACUUCUUCAUAGAAAUGUCUGUGGGUUGAGUCAUUAUUUCUGCAUCUUUUUGUAUUUAUGCUGCAUUCUCCAUGAUGAAAAAGUCCUAUGCUCUCACUUCAGAUAAGCCAAUAUCAUUAGACAUCUUACUGACACUGUUUUUAGGCCUUUGGGAAUCCAAUCUUUCUUCUUUACACAUGCAUAUACCAAUAUCUAUCUGCUUAUAUGCUUGCCUCAUCUCUCUGGUUACCCUGGAAAACAGUGGCUUGACUGGGAUUGUGAAUAAGGACUACUCUAAUCUAGGUAGGCAUACUGGCCCAUUACAAGCCUGCAGGACUGCCAGAAAAUGGACUAUGACCAAUGUAAGUUCAAUGACUGCCUUUUGGAUUUAGGAUAUCCUAGCAGAAAAGAUAUCUGUCUUUUCCAGGGACAGUUCCUAUUCUUGCAGAAAAGGGAGGAAUCAGUCAGGAAUGACCAAGUCAGAGAUGAUAAUAAUGUUACAGGUUUUGCUUUAUACUUGAUCAAAGUCUGAGAUUUGAACAAAAUAAGGUUGAUGUUCCCUAAUAAUCAUUUGGUGUUAUGGAAUGUUACUUUUUAGAAGAUGGUCUCUAGAUACAGAGAUCUCUCUGUAGAAAACCUUCAUAUGAACUUCUCACCUUUCACAGUGGAAAGUACACAACAGACUUGUUUGACACAGACUUGUUUGCUCAAAACUAUAUGCAGCCUACCAGGACGAAUUGUGAUCUACUAGGUGUCCAUUCCUCUGUUUUUGGAUUAUCAGACAGGCAGCAAAAGUAGGAAACCUCUUGAGUCCCAGGUGGGCCACCAUACAUGACCGGUGGGCUGCAUUCAGUGAAAUGGAUCACUAGUGCAGGCCUAAUUGAUCCCUAUAUGUUAAUGUACUAGGUGUUGAGUUGUGGAUGUAGCUCAGUAAUAAUGAAAAUGAUUUGCAUGCAGGAAGUCCUAGGUUCUAUCUUGGAGUCCUAGCAUCUCCAAGUAGGGCUAGGAAAGAGUUCUGUCUGAAACCCCGGAGAGCUGCUUUCACUCGGUAUACUUAAUACUGAACAAGAUGGACUGAAUGGAGUCAGUAUGAAACAGCUUCCUAUGUUCCACCAAAUGCUUCCUCUUUACACUGUGAAAGAAUGAAAAAUGGUAGCUUCAUUUUCCUUUUGCAGGAUGUUAAACCUGAAACUCUAAUGAGAACACUGUGCAUCUUUUUCCUGCUGGUCUCUUUAUCUUCAUUGCUUCCUGGCCAUUGAUAAUGUGAUAUGGAGAUUUUUAAUGCUCUUUAAACACUGAUCUUGCUUUUAAUUGCCCAUUGAUCCUAAUGUGUAACUCUCAGCCUUGCCUCAAUGAAAUAUAUAUUACUGGAUAUUGGUAAAUCUAUACACCAUAUUUUUAUGAUUUGUUAUCCCAAAGGGAUUUAGGAAAGCCAUUAUACAUUAAGUUGUUUAGUCUGAUUAAUAGCUUUAUGCUAUCACUUUACUCUUUCAUAAAUGAAAAUGGCAGCCUCACAUUUUACUUUAUCUUAUCUAUGUCUACAUUAUUAUUAUGGAACACUUAAUGAUCCUAAGAUGGCAUCCUUCAUUUUGAAUGUAGGAAUCCUAGUCAAUGAGUGGAAAUAAAACAAAUGGAGAAAAGCAGCUUGAAAAAAAUAAAAAUGUUGGUUGAAAAGUUAAAAUUCCUGUCCUAAUGUUCUUUAGAAAGCAUGAAUGCACACGCUCAAUUUCAGUAGAAUGA